RNAcentral lists this long non-coding RNA (1336 nucleotides) under Struthio camelus australis. RNAcentral's name for it is "lncRNA (ENSSCUG00000013604.1)". Lineage: Eukaryota; Metazoa; Chordata; Aves; Struthioniformes; Struthionidae. The record is from RNAcentral.
CUGUGAUGUAGUUUACAGUUCUUUGAUUUUUUUCCCCUUCUUUUAAGACCUUCCUUUCCACUUAUCCACCUUACAUAAGUAAUCUGCUGCAAAAGAGUCGAGGCUAGCAGAAACUGGAAAAAGGAUAUGUGUUUGGAGACAACACUAGCUCAGCUUGGAAGCUAGGAAUGCAACUGUAUCUUUUCUCUGUCUGCUUUAGGAGAAGUAUGUCUGGACAGCAGUGACGACACUAACUCUGACUGGAGAUCUCCCUGGUAACACUGGCCCAAGCCUGAGAGACAUGCUGCAACAUGCUGAAUGAUGACUUAAGAUGUAUAGGUGUUGCGAUGGCUUCCUCCUGCUUUGGGCACCCUCGGUCUUUCUGUGAUGCACGGGGGAAGUUUCUUACCUCAGAGCUGAGGACUUGAGAGACUCAUCCAAGCAAGAAGCUGCCUCAGUUUUGUGAUGAGCGAAGUACCCAAGGAGAGAAGCACUGACACAAGGAGAUCAGCACCCUGCGUAUGGGAUUCCCACAGCAGAGCUUGCUUGAGAAGGGAUUUGUAGCUGUUUGCAAGGACAGGCCCAAGGGAGGUGCUGUUUGUUCCAGUGGAAACCAUACAGAAGAGUGGGUUCUUUCAUCCUGCAACACUGUGUGACUCUGCCUCUUCUGACUGCACUUACUCCGCGCAGUGGACUCACCUCCAUCGUCUCCUGGCCUCUCCUUUUCCUCCAGCUUGCCCAAUUUCAAGCCUGAAAUCUGUGCUUGCAGUCUGCAGCCUCUUGUGGCACUGGAGGGCUGAGUGCUUUAGGUAGACAGCACUCAGCCAUGCAAAGCAGCGCUCCCAACGAGGGCAUUGGAGGAGACUCAGCCCAGCAAAGCUGCUGGUGGAGCAGAACUCACUGCCACUGUUUUCCAUAUGUUCCUCCCUAUGGGGGCCUGACUGGACCUCGACCUGAGGAGGGAACAGAAUGGAAAUUUAAUAGAAAGGCGAGUCCCACCCCCAGGUUUAACAGUAUGUAACUUCAGUUUCAGCUCAGCCUGUAGAGCACCAGGAAUGAAAGAGCAGGUUGGCUUGCAAAAGUGCAUUGUGUCCAGCCCAGCAAAAUGGCUCCUGAAAGAGUAUUCAUCCCAUAGAUGGGCAGUCACUGGAUCAAACUGUUGAUAGAUCAUCUUGUCUGAAGCAAGAACAAAAAAACCGUUCCUUUACCAAGCAAGUGUGGUGCACUACCAGUGUGCGCUAAUAGCUUUCUUUUCAGUUAGAAGACUUCAAUUUGGGCAUAAAUUCUUUCAGAUGCUGCUAGUUAAAACUGUGCUGAAGAAAAUAAAAGCAUAGCAAGUAUAUCUAUUAUCUGCCUG